RNAcentral lists this ribosomal RNA (981 nucleotides) under uncultured eukaryote. RNAcentral describes it as "SSU rRNA". It matches the Rfam family "Eukaryotic small subunit ribosomal RNA", at positions 778 to 1674 of the family's 1831-position model. The record is from RNAcentral.
AAGCAGGCUCCAAAUGCCUGAAUAUUUUGUGCAUGGAAUAAUGAAAUAAGACCUCUGUUCUACUUUCAUUGGUUUUUAGAUCAAGAGGUAAUGAUUAAUAGAAGCAGUUUGGGGGCAUUAGUAUUACGACGCGAGAGGUGAAAUUCUUGGACCGUCGUAAGACUAACUUAAGCGAAAGCAUUUGCCAAAGAUGUUUUCAUUAAUCAAGAACGAAAGUUAGAGGUUCGAAGGCGAUCAGAUACCGCCCUAGUUCUAACCAUAAACGAUGCCAGCUAGCAAUUGGGUGUAGCUACUUUCAUGGCUCUCUCAGUCGCUUCCCGGGAAACCAAAGCUUUUGGGCUCCGGGGGAAGUAUGGUUGCAAAGCUGAAACUUAAAGGAAUUGACGGAAGGGCACCACCAGGAGUGGAGCCUGCGGCUUAAUUUGACUCAACACGGGAAAACUUACCAGGUCCGAACAUAAGUGUGUAAGACAGAUUGAUAGCUCUUUCUCGAAUCUAUGGGUGGUGGUGCAUGGCCGUUCUUAGUUCGUGGAGUGAUUUGUCUGGUUAAUUCCGAUAACGAACGAGACUCAAAUAUAUUAAAUAGAUGCUUUCAGGAUUAUGGUGCUGAGGCUUGUGUAGCCUUCAUUCAUGACUGCAGUAAAAUGUAUAAGUGUUUGAAUGUGUUUAUUCAAGUGGAGCCGUACCUGUUGGUUUGUCCCAUUAUAAGGACACUAGCUUCUUAAAUGGACAAAUUGCGUCUAGCAAUAAUGAGAUUGAGCAAUAACAGGUCUGUAAUGCCCUUAGAUGUCCUGGGCUGCACGCGCGCUACAAUGAAAGUAUCAACGUGUAUUUCCUAGACCGAGAGGUCCGGGUAAACCGCUGAACCACUUUCAUGCUUGGGAUUGUGAACUGAAACUGUUCACAUGAACUUGGAAUUCCCAGUAAGUGUGAGUCAUUAACUCGCAUUGAUUACGUCCCUGCCCUUUGUACACACCGCCC